Small nuclear RNA from Xenopus laevis (African clawed frog), 187 nucleotides. RefSeq annotates it as U2 spliceosomal RNA. Lineage: Eukaryota; Metazoa; Chordata; Amphibia; Anura; Pipidae. The transcript has a single exon. The record is from RefSeq and is a predicted model, not a curated record.
AUUGCUUCUUGGCCUUUUGGCCAAAAUCAAGGAUACUAUGAGUUCUUAUCAGUUUAACAUUGGAGAUAACGCCAACCUCACUGAUGGUACAAUAAAACACUUGCUUGUGUGAGUCGAGUUGCUUGCAUUAAAGUCCAAGCUUUUUUGCACCCCAGGAUUUGCACCACUGGGGUGCCGAAAUUCACAG